Molecule: ribosomal RNA, 420 nt
Filed under: Fusobacteriota bacterium
Lineage: Bacteria; Fusobacteriati; Fusobacteriota
Description: Fusobacteria bacterium partial 16S ribosomal RNA
Rfam family: Bacterial small subunit ribosomal RNA
Source: RNAcentral
UGGGGGAUAUUGCACAAUGGGCGAAAGCCUGAUGCAGCGACGCCGCGUGGGGGAUGAAGGCCUUCGGGUUGUAAACUUCUUUUGCUCUGAACAAGGCAUGCCUUUGGGGUGUGUUGAGUGUAGGGGUUGAUUAGCGCCGGCUAACUACGUGCCAGCAGCCGCGGUAAUACGUAGGGCGCGAGCGUUGUCCGGAAUUAUUGGGCGUAAAGGGCUUGUAGGUGGCUGGUUGCGUCUGUCGUGAAAGCUCAUGGCUUAACUGUGGGUUUGCGGUGGGUACGGGCUGGCCUGAGUGCAAUAAGGGGGGCUCGAAUUCCUGGUGUAGCGGUGGAAUGCGCAGAUAUCAGGAGGAAUACCGGUGGCGAAGGCGGGUCUCUGGGCUGUUACUGACGCUGAGGAGAGAAAGCGUGGGGAGCGAACAGG